Peromyscus maniculatus bairdii (prairie deer mouse) is the source of this 10470-nucleotide non-coding RNA. The record is from RefSeq and is a predicted model, not a curated record. NCBI's taxonomy places the organism in Eukaryota, Metazoa, Chordata, Mammalia, Rodentia, Cricetidae.
UGGCUACAUAGAGUUUGAGGGUAGCCAAGGCUACAUGAGACUCUGUCUCAAAGAAACAAAACAGGCAUUUUGAUUCUUAUCAGAUAUACUGUUUUUCUAGAUUAGACACCCAUACUUUUCCCUUCAUUUUAAUCUUAAAUAAAUUCACUCUAUCCGCAUUUGGACUAAAAAAUGUCCAAUCUUUUUCUUUUGGAUGUUUUGAAACAGUAAAACAUCAGGAUUUCAAUUUUUUCUUAGGCCCAUUCUUGCAUAUCUAUUAUUGUUAACAUGUUGGACCAGUAUAUAUUUGUUUUGUGAACAUUCAAUCUUAGUGUUACAUAAGAUGUGGAGAAAUGUGAAAUGUUAAAUGUAUUCAUAGAAAUCCUUGCAAGAGAAGAUAUGAUUUCUCUCCAUUUGGAAAUAAUACACAGGCUUCAGAGUUUCAUUUGGACAGUUUUCUAGGUUAUGCUAAUGCAGUACAGUUAGUUUGAUUUGUUGUUAUAAAUCCUAUCGUCAUAGAGAAAGGUGGGAUGAGUCACUAGUCCAUGUAAGACAUGUCUUUGGUUCUUUUGGUUUGGUUUAGUUUUGUUUUGUGACAGGGUCUCACUAUGUAACUCUAGCUGGCCUAGAACUCCCUGUGUAGGUCAGACAGGCCUGAAACUCACAGAGAUCUCUCUGCCUCUGCCUCCGAAGUGCUGGGACUAAAGGCGUUUGUCACCUCAGCUGACCAUCUCUUUGUUCUUAAAGCUGCCUUCUAGUAAGAUAUUGCUGGGGUUUAUGUGACAUAGCCUCUGAAGAAUAGAUAAUCCUCAUUGUGAAGUUUCAGGAUGUUCAUCUAAGUUAAAUCUACUUGUCUCAGAGCACAUUACACAUAGUCAUAUGGGCUUUCUAUUGAUCUGGGCCGUGCUACUUGAGAGAGAACUUGGCUGCAGAUAACUGAAUCAUCCAGCUAUGCUGUGUUUGAGGUCUUGCUAAUAGAUGUCAUUUAAGUAGGAAUUGAUUGAAAGCAUUGGAGUUUGCCAAGCAUCAUGACUAAUUCUCAGUGGUUUUGCUUCUCUGCUUUCUAGUGUUUUUCCUGGUUUUCAGACCAGGACUUUUUUUGUUGUUGUUUUUGUUUUUGUUUUUCGAGACAGGGUUUCUCUGCGUAGCUUUGAGCCUUUCCCGGAGCUCACUUGGUAGCCCAGGCUGGCCUCGAACUCACAGAGAUCCACCUGGCUCUGCCUCCCGAGUGCUGGGAUUAAAGGCAUGCGCCACCACCGCCCAGGCAGGCUGGUAUUUUUACUUAGAUAGUAAGUGGGCUUUCUUCCUCAGGACAGGCCAAAGUUAAAUAGUGUGAGUAUGUUAGAACACCUGAGCUUGUUGCAUUACAAAGAAAGUAAUUAUUGCUAGGGACAGUGACCUCAAGCCCUUAGAGAAGUCUGUACAGAUCAUCCAUUUCUAGUGUGUUAGAAGAUCAUCUUUUCUCAAAUGACACACAGCAAUGCUAGAAAGACACAUAAUUACCUGAAAUCCACAUUAUCUUUACAGAGGCUACAAAAAUAACUUUUAUAAAUAAUUUCUAAUCUCAUAUCCUUCCCCUUAUAUAUCAGAAACACUUCUUAACGCAGUUAAAAGAACUCCAGUAGCUCAAAUAGUGGAAGCUUUAAAUAGCAAAGCUAACUUACAAAGGCAGAGCAUGGGGUGGGGACAGGGGCUUUUCUAAUGCUUGUUAUCUGUGUCUGCUCAGUAGGCCCUGUGGAGGGACUCUCAAGUGCACCACCCAGUUAAGGUAGUCUUAGUUUGAGCAUCUCAUGUGACCAACACCAUAAGUUAAUGCCAUGCAUCUUAGGAUGUGAAUUAUACUAUAAUGCCAGAAGUUAAAUUAGCUCAUGGAAACAUGCAAUUACUUAUCUUCACUGGUAGGUAAUAUAUAGGAAACUAUGUCCAUUAAAUAAAUGUUAAAUACCUUUUGGUACCAGACAAUGUGGUUGGAAUUUGUAAAACACAACCAGCUUUAGUUAGUUGUGGCUUUCUUUUCUUUUGGGGGGUUUUGCUUUGUUUUUGGAUUUUUGGGGGGUUGUUUGUUUUUUGAGAGAGAGACAGGGUCUCCCUAGAUAGCCCUGGCUGGCCUAGAACUCACUACAUAUAGCAGGCUGGCCUUGAACUCAUAGAGAUCUGCUGCCUCUGCCUCCUGAGUGUUGAGAUUAAAGGUGUGCUCCACUGUGCCCAGCAUGGCUUCCCAUUCUUGAGAGUCCCAAACCUACUUCCUGGGAGUCUGAGACAUGAUUUUUAGAGAGCUUGCACUUUUUAAUAGAGAGACGUUCUAAAGGAGCACUGAACUGUCUCCCCUACUAGCAUAACUGCAAUCAUAUUGAAAUAAUCCUGAGGUGAUAAAAGUAAUAAUAAAAACAGCCCACUUUUUUUUUAGUGUUUAUGUGCCAGACACAGUUCUAUUAAUUUAUCUGCUCCUCAUGUCAGUCUGUUGUGGUUAUUGUUUCCUUCAUUUUAGAGAGAAGGACAACCUUUGUCUUUACAUAGGCAGCCUACCACCAGAUUCUCUGGAUAGCUUCUAGUGCCUUUAGUGAGUAUAAUUAUGGCACAUGUUAUAGAUAAGGACACUGCUGAGCCCAAGGGUACAUAACAGCUCGUAUUUACCAGUCCAGUUCCAAAGUCCAGACUACCUCCACUCUGUCACAUUUAUUUUCUGUGCAGUGGCUAAUGCUCUUCCUACUCUUACUGAACUUGCAAUAAAGAGUAGAGGCUGGAGAGAUGGUUAAGGCUCAGUGGUUAAGAGCACUGGCUCUUCUUCCUGAGGACCUAGAUUUUGUUUCCUUAGCACCUACAUGACAGGUCACAACUGUAACCCAAGAGUAAGUUACUAGCAGAUUUCUUCAAAGGGUCGUGCAGUUGGUCUCAUGCAGACUUGAGUAGGAACAUCGCCCACUUAAGGAGAAUUGCCCCUUUGGUAUGUCUGAUUUUAAGUUGAGUGAGUUACUAUUGAAAAGUGAAAUGUUUUCUGGUUAUCUAUUGCUGUGUAACAAAGUACCCUAAAGUUUAACUCUAAAGUGGCUUAACAACCAUUUUAUAAAUCUUACUUUGCAAAAAGUUAGAAGUUAAGGAAGGGGCAGUUGGUUGAACUGGUCUAGAAGGUCCAAGAUUACAUGCAUGCCUAGUGUAGGGAGACCUGAAAAGCUGGUUUAAUCUUUCCAUUGAAGGACUUUCGGGGGAGGGGGGAUGAGGGUGGCAGGGUUUCGAGACAGGGUUUCUCUGUAUAGCCCUAGAACUAGCUCUGUAGACCAGGCUGGGCUCAAACUCAGCGAUAUACCUGUUUCAGCCUUCCAAGUACUGGUAUUAAAGGCAUGAACCACCACUGGCUGGCAGGUAGUUGGGCUUCUUAAUAUGCAACUCAGGCUACUAAAAGCUGGGCAAACAAUCUGGUCUUCUUAAAGGCCAGGCCUACAGUCAUCAUGGGUUCACUGCCAUACUUUAGUCAGUGGUGAGCCCAGAUCUAGGGAAGAGGAAAUACCCUAACACUUUAUGAAAAACAUGAAGAGAUCUGAGACCAUGUUUAAUUGUUUACAGGUAACAUUAGGUUCUCAAUUUUUUUCCCUGAGCUUUUUGUGGUCAGUUAUUAGUGUUGUUUAAGCCAUUAUUACAUCUACUGUGGGACAGUCAAAGAUCUAGAAGGAGAAUUAGACAAAUACUUGAGGCUGUUUUAUUAGUUGCCUGCCUUCCCUCAAGUUGUGCCUGUUUGAAAGCAGCAGCCAUUCCUUUUCUUCUCUGUACUUGGGUCCAGGUUCCGAGCUUCGGCUGUACUGUGAGACCAUGAUAUCUACACAGCCUGAGCCAGAAAUGCUCUCGAGGAAAUGAGAAGCUUACUGUUUACAAUUCUGACUUCUUGGAGACAGCUCGUCACAAAUCUAAACGGUUUCAGCCAGUCGUGACAGCCCGAGUGAGUAGACGCUACCUGAAGGUUAGAGUUCUACCCUUAGCCUCCUCUUGAAGCAGAUGCUGAUGAUAUUUGAGAACGGUCUGUUUCCUAUAAGUCAGAGAAACCCAACUGUAGUGGUUAAGAACCACUCAAAACCAGAGAUGCUAUGCAGGAAACAAAGCUUAAAUGUGUUUCCUCUGGAAGCCAAAUUACUAAAUAGGUCACUAAAAGUGUGCUGAAAGUACCCUCUGAAAUGCUAUCAGAUGGCAGACAUACUUAGAAUUUAUAUGGAGUUUCUAGUAUUUUUACAAAAAUGACUUUAAGUCCGGUAAUGAGUUUUGUUGUUGUUUUUUAAUGAGCCCGUUUUCUUUUUGGAAAAAUGGCUCAAUAAAAAUAUCACUAAAGAAUUCAAUUGUAUAUGCAUGUGCGUUAAACACAGAAUGGUAUACUAAAGAUAGUUCAUGCAAAUAACUUUUAUGGAAAGUUUAGCUAUUUUCUUAAUGUCAUUUUCAUAAAUGUAUGUUUAUAAAUCUAUUUACUCACCACCAUGAUCUUGGUAGCAUAGAAGCAUUUCAUUAGUUGUGUUGUACUAAAAAUUAAAUUCUUGGCAUAGUAGGCUAUGAGAGCUUUAGUUAACUUUGUAUUGGGGCUGAAAAAAAAUUUCUUGCACUUUCUGUUUAUAAAGAUGUUAUAACACAUCUAACAGUACAGCUGCUUUUUUUAGAGCUGGCAGAUGUAGGUAUUAAAGUGAUAUAUAUGCUUAAAGCCCUCGAAAGAGAAAAUAUGCUUAUAGCUACCUGAGAAGGGUUAGGGAUCAGUACACAGAAUACAUCCUGAAAGUAGUUGUUGGGAUAAACAUACUGUCGCUGUGAAUUGCAAUAUAUCGCUGAGUUGUCAGGUAUAUGUGUGCAAAUUAUGUGUAUGUAAGGAAAAGAUGUUUAAUGAAGGCAGAUAAGUCAAUGUAAACUAUCCUACCUCCCGCUAAAUACUGAGCAUAGUCAAGAUUGUCCUGUAGCCCUUGGCCAUGAGCCUGAUUCCUUAGCCUCUCUACCCCCAUCCUUUUCUAUAUACAUUUCAGCUCCUCUACCUCUGAGCAUUUGCCUGAAAAAGUAGGGUGUAGCUUUCUAUAGCAAGCAGAGGAAAGCUAGACUCAAAAUACAGAGGUUACCAUGCAGAUGUUAAUGUUUGAUCUGUCUGGUAGAAGUGUCUAGUGCAGGUAGAGAGAGGCUUUCUUGGUUUUGCUCUUCUGUGUGUGCUGCACAUGUGCAGAGUUUUACUGUUACCCAGAUGAGCCUCAAACUCUCCAUCCUCCUGACUCACUCUCUGUUUUUGCUGUUUGCUUGUGAUGUUCCCAAGGACAGAACCCCAGGCCUUGCUUUGUAGCUCAGGCUGGCCUUGAACUCUUACUGUUCCUGCCUUGGCCUCUUGAGUGCUGCCACUUCCAGCAUGUGUCACCAUACCCACUCUUUGUGUUUGUUCUUAAAGAUGUCCCAACUCCUCUAAAUGAUGUGAAACAUCACUGUUCUUCCAUUGCCAGUCCCAGUUCUUUUUUUUCUUUCUUUCUUUCUUUUUUUUUUUUUUUUUUUUUUUUUUUUUUUUUUUGGUUUUUCAGGACAGGGUUUCUCUGUGUAGUUUUGGUGUCUGUCCUGGAUCUCGCUCUGUAGAUCAGGCUGGCCUCGAACUCACAGAGAGCUGCCUGGCUCUGCCUCCCGAGUGCUAGGAUUAAAGGCAUGCGCUACCACCACCCAUCUCCCCAGUUCAUUUUGUGGGUACUGGAAUAUUAACUACAUUUUCCUGAUAAUGAUCCUGCUACCAAUAUCUUACAUGGGUGUACAUGAUAAGGAUUUUUUGGAAGAUCUGUUUUGCUUUUGAUUAUUCCAAAGAGAGAUAUGUUUUUUUAAAUGCCAAUUACUGUUGUAAUAGUCAGGAUUUGGAUUUCUACAUGGCAGAAAAGUUCAUUUCAACAGGAAAAUGCCACCUGAUUAGAACUGAUUUCUCCUUGAGGUAGUAGUUCUGUAGCCAAGUUGGCUUACCUACCUUUUAACCAUUUGUUACUGCUGAGGAGUAACUAUUGGCUCUAACAGCUAUCUUGGGAAGCUUUCCACCUUUUCAUUCGAAUGCUCUGUCUGGGUUAUAAUGUCUAAAAACAGGAAUUCUCUGGUUAGAAAUGAAAACUAGCAAAUUAUCUAUUUUCAGAUCUCUAGGGUUGCCACUGUUUUUCUGGGUACUGUUUUCUUUUCUUGUGACAUUAGGUAAUGUGAAAUUCCCAAUAGAAAGAGAAGCAUUCCAUGUAAGUGACUGAGCAGUUUGUGAAUAAAUCCAUAUGAGGUCCUCCAGGGAGAAAGAUGGGCUGUUUCCUUGCUAAACCAUAGAGUGGUUCUCAGUCUUUUAGCCGUGCUAGUAUUUCAGACUUGGGAAUUAAAUUGUGCUUAGGAAAGUAUCUUCCUGUAGCUUGCUGUUUGUGCCCAGUCUUGUCCUAGGCCUGCCCUCAAUGUCUGACUAUAAACUGUACUUUAAAACAGAUGCUUAAUUAAGUCUCAAUAAUACUUUAUUGUCAGUGUUGUUGCCUUUUUGGCCAGACUGAUCUAUUUGGAAAGAAAAAAAAAAAAGAGUAAAGAAGUGCCCAGGUUAAUUAAAUUCAUGAAUCUAGAAGGAAACAGAUUCUUACCCUCUUCCUCUGGCUUGAAUGAGCAUUGACUUUAUGUUGUCUAUUUAAAAUCAGACCAGGUUGACUGGUCUGUUGUGCAAUCUGGGCUUAGAAAGAUCCCUAGGAAUGGAGCGGGAGUGCAGUGUGGCUUUGGUGGAAAGCUCCUCCUUAGCAUGCACAAGACCCUGGGUUCACUUCCCUGGACGACAACAUGCCCAGACGAUUCCGAUGUGCAGCCAGGGUUGGAAAUCACUCUGUGGGUAGUCAUUCGUACUCUUGGGCAGGAAAACCUGAAGCUAGUAUUAUUUCUUUCCCCAACUCCUCAAGCAAAAUGAAGGUGGGUUUGUAGUUGCAGAUUGAAAAGAGAAAGAAUUCCUUGGAGUGGAAGGGACUCCAGGAGAGAAAUGCCUAAAGCUAGAUUUCUUGACCCAGGUACCUUUGCUGCUAUCCCAGGCAUGGCUCUUGGCUUAAAGCUGACAAUGAGCCAGAGCUCAGACUCAUCUGUUUCUUCUCAGAGUAGGUCUGGAGGGAAAUGUUACAAUCAAUCCAGUAUCCUCUGUUACAAAUACAGGGUGUGCGUAAGUAAAUGAAAGCAGUUUUCAAGGCCUGUUCUCUAGAGUCCUUUUCCUCUGCACGUGUGAUUUAAGUGAAGAUUGUUCAGUUCAUAGGGAAAGUAGAACAGUACUUCAGUGUACUGUAAAAAUGCAGAACCAAGCCCAAGCUGUCUACAGCUACUUUUCUUUGUAAAUCAAGCAAGCAGUGUUGCUACUUUAUAGAGGAAAGAAUAAUCCUGCCUUGGGUGAUUAUAACACUUCUGAUUAUUUGUCCCUUAGCCUAGUAGGAUUUCUUUGUCAAGUGACUCUUGCUUUUUCUUAGCUGUUUCUUUCUGAAUGAAAUAACUAUCCAAGGCUUAAAUAUUCUGACUAGUAUGUGAAAUUUUAACAUCUUUGUUUUAGGAUGUUAAAAAGACCUAAACCAAUAAUUCCCGAAUAAGAUUCCAUAGCUUCCAUUCUUACCCUUAGUAGAAGAGAUGCAUAAUAGCCAUGACAGUUUAUUACCUGCCUGUGGCAACCUUCCACAUGAUAAUAGAAAACCACUUUUCAAAGCAGCUCCUAAGCAGCUUCUAGCUGCUGGAAGAAAUGUGUGCUUCAAGAGCAAGUUGAGUGUAGCAGACUCUCGAGUAUCCUGGACAUAUAGAAAAGUCCCUUCAUAUAUUGCCCAUAAGUCAUUGAUAAUGUGGAUUUCAGAAAUAGAUUGUGGAAGAAAAGAUGGACUAAGGGAAAAGUUGAUGAGAGCAGAGGACUAAGUAGCAUCAGAAUAUGGACAUGUGUUCUGAGCAGCAUUAAGGCCUUGGUGUUGAUUGGCUGUAAAUGCUGCAGGUCAGAGAGCCAACUGGCUCCCUAGCCUUAGGAAGCUCGCCGAACACCUGCUGAUAGUGAGUGGGAGAGGAAAGCAGUUCCUGUUGAAAACCCUCAGGCUGCCAUGCUAGAGAAAAGAACUUUAUGCAGAUGAUACCACACUGCUCUUUAAGAUUUGGAAGAGACAAAAAAGUGGGGAAGUGUUAGUAAAAGGUAAAUGUGUCAGCUUUUGGUAUUUUGAGCAAGGGAUAAAAGAAAUUUCUACCACAACUGUGAAGUCAGAUCAUCUUCUGCCCUGAUGCCUUGUCUUGCUCAUCCACUCAUUCAUUCUGCCUCCCUUGCGCUCGCUCUCGCUCUCUCUCUCUCUCUGUCUCUCUCUCUCUCUCUUUCUUUCUUUUUCUUUUAGUACUGGGUAUUGAACCCAAGAAUCUGGAGCAUGCUGGGCAAGCAUUCUGCCACUGAACUAUAUAGUUCCAGAUCCAAAUCCUUUCUGAAACAGCUAAGCAACUGCUGGCCUGAUCCCAGUGUGACCUUGCUCCAUCUGGCAAAAGUCAUUACCAAAAGCAAGUGUGCUCUCAGAGUCCGUUAGCUGUUCAACUACUGUGGUCUCUUCACAGCUUCAGCCUGUUGCAUUGUUUUGUGUUCUAAUGGAUUGAUUACUCAGGGCCCAGUGGCUUCCUUUCCCUUUAAGACAUCUUAAGAACAGCACUCCAGACUUGGGCUUGUUGCCUACCUACGUGAGGGAAAAGCACAUUGGCAGAGCACUUAGAUUUCCGGGUUUCUGUCUUUUAGGAUGGGGCCCGCUCAGGCACUGCCUCUGAAAGGCUGAGGGUUGAAAGAGGAAAGUCAGUGAGGCAGAAAUCUGAUUCCUUCAGUGGACCUAUUCUGAAGGAACUCUAACUCUCCUCUAUGGUGCUUAUUUAACGGGUGACAGCUGUCUCCCAUCUACCUGUCCCUGGCACUGUGCCUUCCCACUGGUCACUGUGAAAAGUAGAUCACACUGGACUCAGAGGCAGAAUCCAGGACAAGAUCCCUCUUCUUGAGCCCAUUACUUCUUCAUGCAGCUUAUAAUGUAGCAUUAACUUCUCUUGGAGAAUUUCCAGGGUUUUCUUGCCAAGAAACAGUAAAACAUUUACAAGAAACCAGAAAAGUAGAUUUGGGUUAGAGCUGUCACAAUAAGAAAUCACAGAAAGAUUUCAUUUCAGCUGCUACUGAGUGACAGCAAGAAUCAAACUGUGGUCUCGUCCUGUUUCUGAAGCUGACACAGUAGCGUUUGUAAGCAGCAGACUCACCUAGACGGUUUCCAUAGCUGUUCAUCAAGGAGAAUUUGUACUGAAACAGACAAUCACUUUCUAAAACGUUUAGUCCUGCACGGGAACGGGGUAGAGUAUUUUUAACUAUAAGAACUUAGCAGUCUGUUUUCUCCCUAUGAGAAAAGUCUUAACAUUUGAGGUUUGUGUCUUUCAUCUGUAACAAUUACUCCGUUAAUGGUAAAGAUGCCUCAAAAAAGAGUGCCCCCAGGAAGCUUCCACACCGCUGAGAGCGCCGGGCUGGCUGUGUGCAUCUUACCUCCUAAGACUUUUGUUUUUGUUGUGACCUUGAUUAUAAGGAUCUAUAUGUAGGAGUAGGAUUUUCUCUCCCCGGCCCUCCUUCAGUCAUCACUUAAGUGUAAACCCUUCCCCUUUACUGAGAAGACAAAAUAUGCACUUUAAUUCCUAAGGAGUGUGGCUGUCGUGGGCCUGAAGCCAGAACUCAGGAGGAGAGCUGAAGAGGGAAACUUGCCAGACCCUGUAAGAUUGAACCAAAUCUCUGCCCUACCCCCUAGUGCUGGGGAUUGAGCCAGGGCCUGCCUUCCACAUGCUAGGCAACUGCUGUCCAGUAUCUUAAUGUGAACACGAAUUACCACCUAUUUAAGCUGCCCCCAAGCACUCCUUGCCAAAGGGGCAAAGAACCACUAAACAAAGGAGUUCAGAAUACCUACCCUGAUUUUGGAAUUUUUCCUGGGGGAAAUUUUAUUUUUAUUGAAUUACUUUUUAGCUACCAAAUUAAAAAAAAAAUCUGUGUUGUUUUGUGAUAAGCUUUUUUUUUCUUUCUUUUUUGAUUAAAAAUCAAGUAAAACUACAAGAGCACUAGAACAUCAUUCAGAAGUGUAUCACAUCUAAGGACCGGGUUCAUUCCCCUUAAUUUGACAGGUGUCCUCAGACUCUCCUCCUGUCGACUGACUCUGUCUUCCCCUGGUGAAAAGCCAAUCGUUCUUGGAGGGAUAGCAUGUCUCCUAGAGCCCUGUUGUGUCGGGGAGGGGGGAGGGCAGGAGGGUCAGGGGAGGGGAACUCGAAGAAGAGUUCAGAUGUGGGUUUAUAUAAACAUAUUUAAAGCAGUUAGCAAAAGCUUUCUUGUUGAACAGCUUUAAGAACAAUGUGAAUGAAACCUUAGCAACUUGGUUAGUAAUCUGAAAAGUCUAUUAAUGUAUACUUGAAAUUCUGUUUGUAUAAAAAUGCAUUUCCUCUUUAUUUUGACACUGUGUAUAAGAACAUUAUGCAUGUGAGUGGUUUGAGAAAUAAAAGGUUUAAUACUCA